AGCAGAGGUUUUUUCUUCUGGGAAUUUUGAGAGAGGACUUUGGACUGGAAGAUAUGCGUGUGAAUAUGGAAAAUAAAAUACAGACGGAUGACAAACGGUGCCACUGAUUGAUCGUCUUACGAUUUAAGCCCUCCUCUGCUGUGCUGCUGCUGCUGGGUGAAGGUUAAUGAGAACGGCCAUAAAGAAAGAGAACAGGACUAAGAUGAACUUGCCACCCCACAGGCCUUGUGAGCCCUGAAAUACACUGGACUGUGAUGGCCAAGCUUUAGACUCCCUCUGAGAAGUCUCUCUUGACCAUGCCAAAGAGAAGUGAGCCCUUCCUUGCAUCUCUAACAACCCGUGGGCCAUCGUUGCUGGGACCCAGAGCACAACAAUUCUGCACAGCCAACACUCAGGCCCAAGAUUCCCACCUCACUGUAGAUGAGUUGAGGAGGAACCCCACACCCGGGGCACAAGCAUGGCCGAUGAGUUUCUGUGAAGCAGGAACUCUCUGAACGUGUUUGUAAACAGUGACCUGAAGAUCAAUCGUUAGCUAAAGGCACCCCCCUUCCUCAUCUUUUUGAGUGUCUAUCAUGUUUACUUUAUAUUAGAAUAUUGUUCUUAGAUCCAACAACACGUUAUUGAGCCAGUAGGAGAAGAACCCCAAACAGACAGAGCAUGGUGACUCUUA
This is a long non-coding RNA of Alexandromys fortis (reed vole), 670 nucleotides long. RefSeq lists it as uncharacterized. The record is from RefSeq and is a predicted model, not a curated record. The transcript has 3 exons. Lineage: Eukaryota; Metazoa; Chordata; Mammalia; Rodentia; Cricetidae.